Molecule: ribosomal RNA, 277 nt
Filed under: uncultured bacterium
Lineage: Bacteria
Description: partial 16S ribosomal RNA
Rfam family: Bacterial small subunit ribosomal RNA
Source: RNAcentral
GACGAACGCUGGCGGCGCGCUUAACACAUGCAAGUCGAGCGAGAACCUCCGGGCUUGCCCGGAGGGGAAAGCGGCGAACGGGUGAGUAACACGUGAGCAACCUGCCCCGGAGACUGGGAUAACACCGGGAAACCGGUGCUAAUACCGGAUACCCCCACCGGAUCGCAUGGUCCGAUGAGGAAAUGGUCAGCCGCUCCGGGAUGGGCUCGCGGCCUAUCAGCUUGUUGGUGGGGUAACGGCCUACCAAGGCAGCGACGGGUAGCUGGUCUGAGAGGAC